This 643-nucleotide ribosomal RNA is filed under the name uncultured Actinomycetes bacterium. RNAcentral describes it as "bacterial SSU rRNA". It matches the Rfam family "Bacterial small subunit ribosomal RNA", at positions 232 to 885 of the family's 1533-position model. The record is from RNAcentral. Lineage: Bacteria; Bacillati; Actinomycetota; Actinomycetes.
CGCGGCCUAUCAGCUUGUUGGUGAGGUAAUGGCUCACCAAGGCGUCGACGGGUAGCCGGCCUGAGAGGGUGACCGGCCACACUGGGACUGAGACACGGCCCAGACUCCUACGGGAGGCAGCAGUGGGGAAUAUUGCACAAUGGGCGGAAGCCUGAUGCAGCAACGCCGCGUGAGGGAUGACGGCCUUCGGGUUGUAAACCUCUUUUAGCAGGGAAGAAGCGUGAGUGACGGUACCUGCAGAAAAAGCGCCGGCUAACUACGUGCCAGCAGCCGCGGUAAUACGUAGGGCGCAAGCGUUAUCCGGAAUUAUUGGGCGUAAAGAGCUCGUAGGCGGUUUGUCGCGUCUGCUGUGAAAUCUGGGGGCUCAACCCCCAGCCUGCAGUGGGUACGGGCAGACUAGAGUGCGGUAGGGGAGAUUGGAAUUCCUGGUGUAGCGGUGGAAUGCGCAGAUAUCAGGAGGAACACCGAUGGCGAAGGCAGAUCUCUGGGCCGUAACUGACGCUGAGGAGCGAAAGGGUGGGGAGCAAACAGGCUUAGAUACCCUGGUAGUCCACCCCGUAAACGUUGGGAACUAGUUGUGGGGUCCAUUCCACGGAUUCCGUGACGCAGCUAACGCAUUAAGUUCCCCGCCUGGGGAGUACGG